This is an RNA transcript of Xiphophorus maculatus (southern platyfish), 1691 nucleotides long. It is a transcript of the gene named myc box-dependent-interacting protein 1, with no coding region annotated. Lineage: Eukaryota; Metazoa; Chordata; Actinopteri; Cyprinodontiformes; Poeciliidae. The record is from RefSeq and is a predicted model, not a curated record. The transcript has 15 exons.
ACCCGCAGCGGCCCAGAAUGCAACAGGUGUCGGCUAAUAAUAAAGACAGCCUGCGCCUUUAAGAGGCUGAUGGCUCAGGCUAAUAUCUGCUGAACUUUGAGGUGAUUAAGGUGGAGAGUUUGGAACCUGCUGCCUGUCUCUCUUCUACACACACACACACACACACACACACACCCAGGUCGGAUUAAAUUACGCCCUGCGCCUUUAAGAAGCAGUCAGGAGGAUUAGAGUUACUGUCAGAGUCGCGCACCGCAGCGCUUUUGCCGCAGCGAGCAGCGCCGUUUGUCUGCUGGUUCUCCUGCGUGGGUUGGGUCGGGUCGGGUCCACUCCACGCUGCGACAUGGCCGAGCUGGGGAAGGGUGUGACGGCCGGGAAGCUGGCCCUGAACGUCCAGAAGAGGCUGAACCGGGCCCAGGAGAAGGUCCUCCAGAAGCUCGGUAAAGCCGAUGAGACGCGGGACUCCGCCUUCGAGGAGCUGGUGGCUAACUUCAACAAGCAGAUGACUGAAGGCAGCAAGGUGCAGCGAGACCUCAAGGCCUACCUGGCAGCGGUCAAAGCGAUGCACGACGCGUCGCGGCGGCUGCAGGACUGUCUGGCUGACAUGUAUGAACCCGACUGGUUUGGAAAGGAGGAGCUGGACGCUCAGGUGGAGGAGAUGAUAGAGAAGGAGCUGGACAACAACCUGGAGGACACGGACACACUGUGGAUGGACUACCACCAGAACCUGACGGACAAAUCACUGCUGGGCCUCGACACGUACCUGGCUCAGUUCCCAGAGAUCAAGGCUCGCCUAGCGAAGCGCGACAGGAAGCUGGUGGACUUUGACAGCGCCCGCCAUCACUUCGCCUCCUUGCAGAAAGGGAAGAAGAAGGACGAGGCCAAGAUCGCCAAGGCGGAGGAGGAACUGGGCCGGGCUCAGAGGAUCUUUGAGGAGCUGAACGUGGAGCUGCAGGAUGAGCUCCCGGUUCUGUGGGACAGUCGUGUUGGCGUCUAUGUUGGCACAUUCCAGAGCCUGGCAGGACAUCAGGAGAAGUUCCACAGAGAGAUGAGCAAGCUGAGCCACAACCUGAACGACAUCAUGACCAAACUGGAGGAGCAGCAGCAGCUCAAAAAAGACGCCACUGCAGCCGCAAAGAAAGGCGGCUCAAAGAGUGAGGAAGCCAACCACAGCCAGGCCAGCAGCCCGGCUCCAAAGAAGCCCGGCCCGCCGCCCAGCCGGCCUCCUCCCAGACUCUCACCGUCUCCAGACCCAAAGCAGCAGAUCGCCGCCCUGCUGGAGGACGAGGCUGCAGCUCCAGACUCUGACUCAGACCCGACCAGCACAACGCAGCAGCGAGACGAGCGCGGCGCCGAGUCGCUGUCCCAACAGGAUGCAGACCAGGAGGCCCAGAGCGGCUGGGACCACAGCAGCUACCAGAGCCGCUGCCAGCCCAGCUGGGACCACGCCGACCCGGCCGAAGGUCAGGACGCCGGCACCGAGGAGCGGGGACAUGCACAUCAGGCGUUCAGCGAGCCGGACUGGGACGAGGGCGGAGCCGGCGAGGGGCCGGGCGGCUGGGGCGAGGAGGACGAGGAGGAGGUAGAGUUGGGAAAGUAGAGGAAGUAGAUGAACCUCAGGAGACCCUGAUCGGCCCCAGACCUCCUGACCUCCUGACCUCACCGAGCUCUGUGACCAACGGCGCUGAUGCUGA